RNAcentral lists this ribosomal RNA (116 nucleotides) under Anolis carolinensis (green anole). The record is from RNAcentral. Lineage: Eukaryota; Metazoa; Chordata; Lepidosauria; Squamata; Anolidae.
GCCUAGAUACAGUGUUCUGAAAGCACCAGAUCCCAUCUGAUCUUGGAAGCUAAGCAGAGUCAGGCUCUUUAAUACUUGAAAGAGAAGCCACCAGGGAAUACUAGAGGCUGUAGGGU